RNAcentral lists this ribosomal RNA (460 nucleotides) under uncultured bacterium. Its description in RNAcentral is "partial 16S ribosomal RNA". It matches the Rfam family "Bacterial small subunit ribosomal RNA", at positions 338 to 795 of the family's 1533-position model. The record is from RNAcentral.
CCUACGGGUGGCAGCAGUGAGGAAUAUUGGUCAAUGGACGAGAGUCUGAACCAGCCAAGUAGCGUGAAGGAUGACUGCUCUAUGGGUUGUAAACUUCUUUUAUAAAGGAAUAAAACGAGGCACGUGUGCCUUUUUGCAUGUACUUUAUGAAUAAGGAUCGGCUAACUCCGUGCCAGCAGCCGCGGUAAUACGGAGGAUCCGAGCGUUAUCCGGAUUUAUUGGGUUUAAAGGGAGCGUAGGUGGAUUGUUAAGUCAGUUGUGAAAGUUUGCGGCUCAACCGUAUAAUUGCAGUUGAAACUGGGAGGCUUGAGUACAGUAGAGGUGGGCGGAAUUCGUGGUGUAGCGGUGAAAUGCUUAGAUAGAACGAAGAACUCCGAUUGCGAAGGCAGCUCACUGGACUGUAACUGACACUGAGGCUCGAAAGUGUGGGGAUCAAACAGGAGUAGAUACCCCAGUAGUC